CCAGCAGCCGCCGGUAAUACGUAGGUGGCAAGCGUUGUCCGGAAUUAUUGGGCGUAAAGGGCUCGCAGGCGGUUUCUUAAGUCUGAUGUGAAAGCCCCCGGCUCAACCGGGGAGGGUCAUUGGAAACUGGGGAACUUGAGUGCAGAAGAGGAGAGUGGAAUUCCACGUGUAGCGGUGAAAUGCGUAGAGAUGUGGAGGAACACCAGUGGCGAAGGCGACUCUCUGGUCUGUAACUGACGCUGAGGAGCGAAAGCGUGGGGAGCGAACAGGAUUAGAUACCCUGGUAGUCCACGCCGUAAACGAUGAGUGCUAAGUGUUAGGGGGUUUCCGCCCCUUAGUGCUGCAGCUAACGCAUUAAGCACUCCGCCUGGGGAGUACGGUCGCAAGACUGAAACUCAAAUGAAUUGACGG
RNAcentral lists this ribosomal RNA (411 nucleotides) under Bacillus sp. (in: firmicutes). RNAcentral describes it as "bacterial SSU rRNA". It matches the Rfam family "Bacterial small subunit ribosomal RNA", at positions 508 to 916 of the family's 1533-position model. Lineage: Bacteria; Bacillati; Bacillota; Bacilli; Caryophanales; Bacillaceae. The record is from RNAcentral.